RNAcentral lists this ribosomal RNA (506 nucleotides) under uncultured bacterium. Its description in RNAcentral is "bacterial SSU rRNA". It matches the Rfam family "Bacterial small subunit ribosomal RNA", at positions 8 to 526 of the family's 1533-position model. The record is from RNAcentral.
AGAGUUUGAUCCUGGCUCAGGAUGAACGCUGGCGGCGUGCUUAACACAUGCAAGUCGAACGGUGAAGCAGAGCUUGCUCUGUGGAUCAGUGGCGAACGGGUGAGUAACACGUGAGCAACCUGCCCCGGACUCUGGGAUAAGCGCUGGAAACGGCGUCUAAUACCGGAUACGAGACAAGACGGCAUCGUCAUUGUCUGGAAAGAUUUUUUGGUCUGGGAUGGGCUCGCGGCCUAUCAGCUUGUUGGUGAGGUAAUGGCUCACCAAGGCGUCGACGGGUAGCCGGCCUGAGAGGGUGACCGGCCACACUGGGACUGAGACACGGCCCAGACUCCUACGGGAGGCAGCAGUGGGGAAUAUUGCACAAUGGGCGAAAGCCUGAUGCAGCAACGCCGCGUGAGGGAUGACGGCCUUCGGGUUGUAAACCUCUUUUAGCAGGGAAGAAGCGAAAGUGACGGUACCUGCAGAAAAAGCGCCGGCUAACUACGUGCCAGCCGCCGCGGUAAUUC